CCAGCUUGCUGGAUGCUGACGAGCGGCGGACGGGUGAGUAAUGCAUAGGAAUCUGCCCGAUAGUGGGGGAUAACCUGGGGAAACCCAGGCUAAUACCGCAUACGUCCUACGGGAGAAAGGGGGCUCCGGCUCCCGCUAUGGGAUGAGCCUAUGUCGGAUUAGCUAGUUGGUGAGGUAACGGCUCACCAAGGCCACGAUCCGUAGCUGGUCUGAGAGGAUGAUCAGCCACAUCGGGACUGAGACACGGCCCGAACUCCUACGGGAGGCAGCAGUGGGGAAUAUUGGACAAUGGGGGAAAGCCUGAUCCAGCCAUGCCGCGUGUGUGAAGAAGGCCCUCGGGUUGUAAAGCACUUUCAGCGAGGAAGAACGCCUAGCGGUUAAUACCCGCUAGGAAAGACAUCACUCGCAGAAGAAGCACCGGCUAACUCCGUGCCAGCAGCCGCGGUAAUACGGAGGGUGCAAGCGUUAAUCGGAAUUACUGGGCGUAAAGCGCGCGUAGGUGGCUUGAUAAGCCGGUUGUGAAAGCCCCGGGCUCAACCUGGGAACGGCAUCCGGAACUGUCAAGCUAGAGUGCAGGAGAGGAAGGUAGAAUUCCCGGUGUAGCGGUGAAAUGCGUAGAGAUCGGGAGGAAUACCAGUGGCGAAGGCGGCCUUCUGGACUGACACUGACACUGAGGUGCGAAAGCGUGGGGUAGC
This 695-nucleotide ribosomal RNA is filed under the name Vreelandella aquamarina. RNAcentral describes it as "bacterial SSU rRNA". It matches the Rfam family "Bacterial small subunit ribosomal RNA", at positions 75 to 769 of the family's 1533-position model. Lineage: Bacteria; Pseudomonadati; Pseudomonadota; Gammaproteobacteria; Oceanospirillales; Halomonadaceae. The record is from RNAcentral.